CGAGUUGGCCAGACAGUCGCUGCGUUCGUAAGAACGGGGAGGAAAGUCCGGGCUCCAUAGAGCAGGGUGCCAGGUAACGCCUGGGCGGCGUGAGCCGACGACCAGUGCAACAGAGAGCAGACCGCCUGCCUGAUUUAUCAGGUCGGUAAGGGUGAAAGGGUGCGGUAAGAGCGCACCGCGCGGCUGGCAACAGUUCGUGGCAUGGUAAACUCCACCCGGAGCAAGAUCAAAUAGGGUUCCACUGCUUACUUAGGUAAGUUAAUGCGUGGCUCGCGUUGGAACCGGGUAGAUUGCUUGAGCCGUUGAGCGAUUAACGGCCUAGAUGAAUGACUGUCCAAGACAGGACCCGGCUUAUCGGCCAACUCACCUC
This 370-nucleotide RNase P RNA is filed under the name Shewanella sp. NIFS-20-20. RNAcentral's name for it is "RNase P RNA component class A". It matches the Rfam family "Bacterial RNase P class A". Rfam says of the family: Ribonuclease P (RNase P) is a ubiquitous endoribonuclease, found in archaea, bacteria and eukarya as well as chloroplasts and mitochondria. Its best characterised activity is the generation of mature 5'-ends of tRNAs by cleaving the 5'-leader elements of precursor-tRNAs. Lineage: Bacteria; Pseudomonadati; Pseudomonadota; Gammaproteobacteria; Alteromonadales; Shewanellaceae. The record is from RNAcentral.